This 402-nucleotide ribosomal RNA is filed under the name uncultured bacterium. RNAcentral's name for it is "bacterial SSU rRNA". It matches the Rfam family "Bacterial small subunit ribosomal RNA", at positions 355 to 774 of the family's 1533-position model. The record is from RNAcentral.
UGGGGAAUCUUGCACAAUGGGGGAAACCCUGAUGCAGCGACGCCGCGUGAACGAUGAAGCCCUUCGGGGUGUAAAGUUCUUUCGACAGGAACGAUAAUGACGGUACCUGGAGAAGAAGCUGCGGCUAACUACGUGCCAGCAGCCGCGGUAAUACGUAGGGGGCAAGCGUUGUCCGGAUUUACUGGGUGUAAAGGGUGCUCAGGCGGAUUUGUAAGUCAGAGGUGAAAUCUUACAGCUUAACUGUGAAACUGCCUUUGAUACUGCAAGCCUAGAGUAUGGAAGAGAGUGAUGGAAUAUCUGGUGUAGCAGUGAAAUGCGUAGAUAUCAGAUAGAACACCAAUGGCGAAGGCAGUCACUUGGUCCAUUACUGACGCUAAAGCACGAAAGCGUGGGUAGCAAACA